GUUGGUAAAAUACUUUUUAUUAUUAUUUUAAACAAACAUCAGUUACUUUUGGGUUUAUUGUGUUUAUUUCCUGUUUUAGGUCGAUUCAGUCUGAGAGUCACAGUCCGGGCUCCUCCACAAAUCAUGGAGUCAACCAGGAUGAAACUCAUGAAUACAACUCUCUUCAUCCUGGAGCAGAUGACCCCAGAGAUGUCACAUACUCUCUUAUUGAACUUAAAACCCUUGGAAAGAAGAGGAAGCAUCAUAAACCAGAGCAGAGUGCUGUUUACUCUGAGGUGAAGACGGGAGCUGCAGAGGACAGUCUGAUGGUCAAACGCCCCAAAAAAGAAAAAGCCAAGAAAAAAGCAGGAAGAUCAAGUCCUGCAGCUGAUGCAGCAGUUUAUUCUGAAGUCACAUUAGGAAGCUUUCCUGGUCAGUGAGGAGAGCUGCAGCAGCAAAGCCAAGAAGAAGCUUUUUAUGAAUCCACUGUUGCUCCUCUGCUGCCCAAAUAUCAGACACGCUCACUUUUUAGUGUUUAUGAAGAUGAUAUUGAAUAAUAAUAUAUAGUAUAUAUUAUAAUAUAUAGUAUAUAAUAAUAUAUAUAGACUUGUUACUGUUGUUUAGCAUAAAGCACACAGAGGUGUGUCCUGUUUCAGAUCCAUGCUCUUUAUCUUCAGCUGAUAUCUUUUAUAUUCACUGUUGAACUUUUUUUUUUUUUUUUAUAAAACUUUGAAUGUAUCCUGUUCCAACAGCAGUGAGAAAAAAGUUUGAAGUCUUCGAUUUUAGUAUCUGAUAGCAACGACUUAAAGUCAGCAGAGUUACAUUAGUGCUGGUAUGGACACCAACAAAUACUUGUACUGUCUGAGUUUAAAGAUCUACAUCAUCUAAAAAGGAAUUAUCCAUCUAUGUUCUUCAACUUAUUAAUUCAGAAUCACAGGAGCCUCUUCCAGCUGUCACACACCUGGACAGUUCACCAUUGUGUCACAUGACUAACUCACAGAGACACACAAACAUUCAGGCUCACAUUCACACCUACGACCACUUUAAAAUCACCAGUUAAUCUAACAUGCAGCUGGAGUACCCGGAGAGGGGCCACGCAGACACGGGGAAAACCGAGCCAGGACCUUCCUGCUGUGAGGAGACAGUGCUAACCAGCACACUGCUGCCACCUGCUGGUUUCUUACUACAUUACAUCAGUCAUCUCAGGAAUGCAGCUGUGCAGCAGAUUCAGACUCAUUUAUCCACACACCUUUUUCUGCACUAAAUGUUACCUGUAAAUAAUCCCUCACCACUUGAGAGUAACGUCCUCUUUUCAGGGUAAACUGCUGUGUAAAUAACGUCCAUUCCAA
This is a long non-coding RNA of Oreochromis aureus, 1328 nucleotides long. NCBI's taxonomy places the organism in Eukaryota, Metazoa, Chordata, Actinopteri, Cichliformes, Cichlidae. The record is from Ensembl.